RNAcentral lists this ribosomal RNA (485 nucleotides) under uncultured bacterium. RNAcentral describes it as "bacterial SSU rRNA". It matches the Rfam family "Bacterial small subunit ribosomal RNA", at positions 28 to 496 of the family's 1533-position model. The record is from RNAcentral.
GAUGAACGCUAGCGGCAGGCUUAAUACAUGCAAGUCGAGGGGCAUCAAGGUACACGAAAGUGUAUUGUUGGCGACCGGCGGACGGGUGAGUAAUAGGUAGGUAACCUACCUCAUACUGAGGCAUAGCUGGGAGAAAUUCCAGGUAAUUCCUCAUGAGGUUAUAUGACACAUGUGAUAUAAUCAAAGGUAUCGCAAGGUACUGGUAUGAGAUGGGCUUACUGACCAUUAGCUAGUUGGUGAGAUAAGAGCUCACCAAGGCGAAGAUGGUUAGGGGUUUUGAGAGAGAGACUCCCCCACAUUGGAACUGAGAUACGGUCCAGACUCCUACGGGAGGCAGCAGUAGGGAAUAUUGGGCAAUGGGCGGAAGCCUGACCCAGCCAUGCCGCGUGAAGGAAGACGGCCUUAUGGGUUGUAAACUUCUUUACUAUGCGACUAACUAGAUUUACGAGAUAAUUCUAUAGAAUGUAGCAUAGCAAAAGCACCGG